RNAcentral lists this transfer RNA (72 nucleotides) under Ornithorhynchus anatinus (platypus). It matches the Rfam family "tRNA". Rfam says of the family: Transfer RNA (tRNA) molecules are approximately 80 nucleotides in length. Their secondary structure includes four short double-helical elements and three loops (D, anti-codon, and T loops). Lineage: Eukaryota; Metazoa; Chordata; Mammalia; Monotremata; Ornithorhynchidae. The record is from Rfam by way of RNAcentral.
AGCAGCGUGGCUUAGUGGCUAGCGCAUGGGCUUGGGACUCAGAGGUCAUGGGUUCUAAUCCCGGCUCUGCCA